AUGCAGGGACAGGAGAGCUGCUGGGUGGCCUGGGCAAGGGCAGCGGAGCUGGAGCUCCAGGAGCUGUGUGCAGAUGCUGCUGAGAGCCAGGAGCUGGACGAGCUGUGGGCCAGCCUGCUCGUCUUCAUCACCCUCUUCCUGCUCAGCGUCAGCUACAGCGCCGCCGCCACCCUGUUCAAGGUGCAGUGGGUCCUGGCCACCGUCCUGCGGGAGAAGCCACAGGCCAUCGGAGACUACGCCAACAUCGUGCGGCCGGCAGAAGUGUCCUGUGUUGCAGAGGCCAAAGCCAGCCCCAGUGUCUUCCCGCUGAGCCUCAGCAGCACUGACGAAGCCGGGCACGUGGUCAUCGCCUGCCUGGUCCAGGGCUUCUUCCCGCCAGAGCCCGUGAGUGUGACCUGGAGCCCCAGCAAGGAGGGCGCGUCCGUCAGGAACUUCCCCCCAGUGAAGGACGCUGCUGGGAGCCGGUAUACCAUGAGCAGCCAGCUGACCCUGCCGGCCAACCAGUGCCCUGACGACUCGUCCCUGAAAUGCCAAGUGCAGCACGCCUCCAACCCCAGCAAGUCUGUGUCUGUGCCAUGCAAAGUUGUGGAUAACUGCACUUGUAAGUGUCCCUCGUGUGACGAGCCCCGCCUGUCACUGCACCAGCCCGCCCUCGGGGACCUGCUUCUGGGCUCCAAUGCCAGCCUCACGUGCACGCUGAGCGGCCUGAAAGACCCCAAGGGUGCCUCCUUCACCUGGAAGUCCUCCGGCGGCAAGGACGCCACCCAGAAGAGCCCUGAGCGUGACCCCUGCGGCUGCUACAGCGUGUCCAGCGUGCUGCCAGGCUGUGCGGAGCCGUGGAAACGUGGGGAGACCUUCUCCUGCACGGCCAACCACCCCGAGUCCAAGAGCCCGAUGACCGUCACCAUCAAAAAAGACCUAGGAAACACUUUCCGGCCCCAGGUCCACCUGCUGCCGCCGCCGUCGGAGGAGCUGGCCCUCAACGAGCUGGUGUCGCUGACCUGCUUUGUGAGGGGCUUCAGUCCCAAGGACGUGCUGAUCCGCUGGCUGCAGGAGACCCAGGAGCUGCCCCCAGAGAAGUACAUGACCUGGGAGCCCCUGAAGGAGCCCGGCCAGAGCGUCCCCACCUUCUCCGUGACCAGUGUGCUGAGGGUAGACGCCGAGGCCUGGAAGCAGGGGGACAAGUUCUCCUGCAUGGUGGGCCACGAGGCCCUGCCCCUAUCCUUCACCCAGAAGACUAUCGACCGCCUGGCGGGUAAACCCACCCACGUCAACGUGUCUGUGGUCAUGGCAGAGGUGGAUGGCGUCUGCUACUGA
Non-coding RNA from Leptonychotes weddellii (Weddell seal), 1317 nucleotides. NCBI's taxonomy places the organism in Eukaryota, Metazoa, Chordata, Mammalia, Carnivora, Phocidae. The record is from the annotation of a RefSeq genome assembly.